GACGAACGCUGGCGGCGUGCUUAACACAUGCAAGUCGAACGAAGUGGCGAACGGGUGAGUAACGCGUAAGCAACCUGCCCUUCAGAGGGGGACAACAGUUGGAAACGACUGCUAAUACCGCAUACUGAAGGGGGGGAUUGCGUCUGAUUAGCUAGUUGGAGGGGUAACGGCCCACCAAGGCGAUGAUCAGUAGCCGGUCUGGGAGGAAGAACGGCCAAAUUGGGACUGGGACACGGCCCAGACUCCUACGGGAGGCAGCAGGUGGGAAUCUUCCGAAAUGGACGAAAGUCUGACGGAGCAACGCCGCGGUAGUGAUGACGGCCUUCGGGUUGUAAAGCUAUGUUAAUCGGGACGCGGUACCGGAAUAGAAAGCAACGGCUAACUACGUGCCAGCAGCCGCGGUAAUUC
Molecule: ribosomal RNA, 408 nt
Filed under: uncultured bacterium
Lineage: Bacteria
Description: partial 16S ribosomal RNA
Rfam family: Bacterial small subunit ribosomal RNA
Source: RNAcentral